GUAGGGAAUAUUAGUAAUGGGCGAAAGCCUGAACUAGCAACGCCGCGUGUGCGAAGAAGGCCUUCGGGUUGUAAAGCACUUUUUGAGAGGAUGAGGAAGGACGGUACUCUCAGAAUAAGUCUCGGCUAACUACGUGCCAGCAGCCGCGGUAACACGUAGGAGGCGAACGUUAUCCGGAUUUACUGGGCGUAAAGCGCGUGUAGGUGGUUUGGUAAGUAGGGCGUGAAAGCUCCUGGCUCAACUGGGAGAGGCCGUUCUAAACUGCCGAACUAGAGGAUGGUAGAGGGAGGUGGAAUUCCGGGUGUAGCGGUGGAAUGCGCAGAUAUCCGGAGGAACACCAGUGGCGAAAGCGGCCUCCUGGACCACUCCUGACACUCAGACGCGAAAGCUAGGGUAGCAAACGGGAUUAGAUACCCUGGUAGUCC
RNAcentral lists this ribosomal RNA (425 nucleotides) under uncultured bacterium. Its description in RNAcentral is "partial 16S ribosomal RNA". It matches the Rfam family "Bacterial small subunit ribosomal RNA", at positions 354 to 796 of the family's 1533-position model. The record is from RNAcentral.